AUUGAACGCUGGCGGAAUGCUUUACACAUGCAAGUCGAACGGCAGCACGGGGGCAGCCCUGGUGGCGAGUGGCGAACGGGUGAGUAAUACAUCGGAACGUGCCCGGUCGUGGGGGAUAACGUAGCGAAAGUUACGCUAAUACCGCAUACGAUCUGAGGAUGAAAGCGGGGGACCUUCGGGCCUCGCGCGAUCGGAGCGGCCGAUGUCAGAUUAGGUAGUUGGUGGGGUAAAGGCCUACCAAGCCGACGAUCUGUAGCUGGUCUGAGAGGACGACCAGCCACACUGGGACUGAGACACGGCCCAGACUCCUACGGGAGGCAGCAGUGGGGAAUUUUGGACAAUGGGCGCAAGCCUGAUCCAGCCAUUCCGCGUGCAGGACGAAGGCCUUCGGGUUGUAAACUGCUUUUGUACGGAACGAAAAGGCUCUGGCUAAUACCUGGGGCUCAUGACGGUACCAUAAGAAUAAGCACCGGCUAACUACGUG
Molecule: ribosomal RNA, 484 nt
Filed under: uncultured bacterium
Lineage: Bacteria
Description: partial 16S ribosomal RNA
Rfam family: Bacterial small subunit ribosomal RNA
Source: RNAcentral